ACUCUCUCAGGGUCGCACCUGGAGAGUUUCCAGCACUCUACCAGUCCUGACUAUGGGAGGGAGAGUCAAGCAGAGCCCUACCCCUUCCAUUCCUAUUUUGGGCAGUGGCCAGUGAAUGGAAGGCAAUCUGCUACAAGU
This 138-nucleotide small nucleolar RNA is filed under the name Ornithorhynchus anatinus (platypus). The record is from RNAcentral. Lineage: Eukaryota; Metazoa; Chordata; Mammalia; Monotremata; Ornithorhynchidae.